ACCCCAGCCCAAUAACUUUAGGCCCAGUAAUAAAUCACCAGGGCUUGCUUCCGCACCUGCACAGACGUCAGAUGUAUUUUUCAGAAAAUCAGUUAAGUGUAAACGAUUAAGAAAGGACAGGAUGGUUGGGAAAGGAGCCGGCACGGUUGGGCAAACGGGAUCAUACAAUGAAAAACCAUACAAUGAAUAACAAAUGGUUUUUAUGUGGUUUUUCCAGGAACCUAUAGGAAAAACAAGUUUACCCUUUAAGUGACCUAUAUGCUGGAUUCAAAAGAGCCAAUGAGAUACCUGUUACUGUGCUAGGAGGGAAACUGACCACUGUACCCUAUAAAAGAUCUGUACCCCAAAGCCCGGUGUGCCAGUUCACCGAAGCUCCGGCUGAGGUUUCGCUGAGCACCCGCAGGCGCCUGUGUAGCAAUAAAUCACCUCUUGCGUUUGCAGCCAGUGCCUCGUGCGUCUUUCUUGGACAGGGAAUCGGCGGGUCUUUCAUUUGGCGAGCCAGCCAGGAGAACUCCUGUAACCCCAUCCGGAUCCCUGCCCGAGGAACACCCGAUAACCACUGGGAGGUAAGCUGGCCAGUUCGUGUCAUUUUGUGUCUCUCUCUGUCUGGUUGUUAUCUUGUUAUCUGUUCAUGCGCAGCGUCUGUACGAUUACGCGUAAUUGCUCUGUAUUCUGGGCAGCUUGAGAAGGAGUUGACGAACUCGGACUUCUCCCCUGCCACCCUGGGAGACGUCCCAGGGGCUCAGGGAGGCCCAUCUUGGGGGGGCCUCCAAUGUUCUGUAGAGUACACUGUACUCGUGGGUGACGGAGGUGACGGUAUCCCUCCUCUCCCUAAUCCGUCAGGUACGUUCGGUUUGUGCUCGAGCCGCGCAGCGUUCUCUGUGUCCAGUCUGAUAUUUGUGUCUGUCUUCUUGCCUUUGCACUUUCUCACUCCAUCUAAGACUAACAUGGGGCAAUCCAUAACAACUCCUUUGAGUCUCACCCUUGACCAUUGGCAGGACGUCCGAAAUCGGGCAGACAACCAGUCAGUAAAAAUUAAGAAGAAAAAAAAAAUGCCUAAUGCCUAAGGUCAAACCAAACUGGAGGAACUGAUCCUAUGGGUGAAAGAUAGGAUUAAGGGACUCCCAGCAGCUGCCAGAGCCAUUUAGCUCUGGGGAGUUCCCUGGGUCCUUAUCUACAUCUUAGGGAUUACACCACCUCUGUUUACUUAAAAAGAAGGGACACUGAAUGCAGUAAAGCCAGUCACACUGAGACCCUUGAUUUUACACCUAUAGUUGCCCCUACGUGAAAACAUCUGGUCCACUCAUGGGAAAGUCUAUGGUGCCACUGAUGGGAGUCAUAAUUAAAUGAAAGUUCAAAACCUGGAGAGAUAUUUUCUUAUCUGGUUGUCUGAUUGUUUCUUAGGGAUAAUCUAGGUUAAAUGUGUGUCCAAAAAAAAAAAAAAUAAUAAUAAUAAUUUUUAUUGUAACAAUCUGGUAUCUGAAUGGGUUUCUAAAGCAUUGCACUAUCUUGCAGUUAAAAGUUGGGUUUAAGCAAUUGUUUAGUUUGAUUUCAGAUAGUUCAUGCUAGAAAACUUAAAUACUUGGGAUAAAAAAAUUAAAGAGUUUCAAUUUUGAACUGGGUAGCCUGAAAAGAAAUUAAAACGUUGGUCUGGCUCAUAAAAAUGACAUUAGAUAAUUAAAUAGCAAUAGUCUUAGAAAUUUUCAAAGCUUAAUUUCAGAUAUAUAUGGUAGUGUGUGAGCAAAUUUAAUGUAACUCAAUGCUACUUUAGGAACUUUAGAACAAGCAAAGUGGCUUAGAGGUACUAAAGAAAUUUCUUCUGAUGGUAGAGGUCCUAUUUCCAGUUUUAUGUGAACAAGUUUUUCUAAUGUAAAAAGAUAUAAAAUUUUAAAUUUUGGGAAUUACUUCUUAAAUUUGUAUCAUAAUUUUCAACAUCUAAACCUGGAAAUAUAACUUGAAGUAAAUUGUAUGGUAUUUACUAACUACUGGCCAGUCAUCUUUUUUUUAGGACUCUUGUUUUUUCUUAGAUUCUGUAUUUUUUUGAGCUCGUGAUUCUGAUCCUGCAGACCUAGGUUAAUGUUUUUCUGAUCAGUGAAGUUUUAAAAAAAAAAAAAAAAAAAAAAAAAAAACACAAAAACAUUGCAAUGGAGAUUUCAUCUGCGAAAAGCUACGAGGCCUUUAUUAAUUGUUAUGUGUGCACACUCUUGUUAUGUGUUAUAUGUCGGUAUGUCUGUAUGUGUAUAUGUCCAUAUAUCCUGCAGUGAUAUAACAAUUGACAGAUGAGGAGCGCUCAUAAAAAAAAAAAAAAUUAAAAAUAGAUCCAAAUAUCUUUAAUUCACGUGAUUCAAACUGUUCAAUUUAGAUUGGGUAAACAGAUAAAAAUAAAGAUGUCCUCAAAAUUAAGCUUAUAAGUUUCUCUAGGUGUUCAAAAAGGCCCUAAUAAAAUGUUAACUCUGCUUAAAUUUAAAAGUUUACAAGUAUUGUUUCAAAAUGUGAACAAAAGGAGGUUUAUGUAAUUAUGGUGUUAUUAAUGUGUUCAUAUCUUCCAGGUAUACAAGUCUGUAAGGUAGAAGCUUCAAAAGAACAUUAUAUCAAGCUGGUGUUCUAAAGUUGUAUGGUAAUUUUAGGCUUAAAAAAAAAAACAUGUUAGAGAUUCAAUUAUAUCAUUUGUGUUCUAUAACUGAACUUGUUAUCAAUAAGAUAUGUACUGUUCCAUGUUACUUUCUACUCUAAGAUACAAUUUAUGUAUUUUUAAGUUAAUAAGAGCCUAAUCUGUGUGAAGGUUUUAUUGCAAAACACAAAAGUACAUUACUACUUUUCUACAAGAGGUUAAAAGCUUUCAGCCUUUAAUUCAUGUUUUAAGUGUGAUAUUAUGUUGUGUUAGCUAAAGUUCAUGUAAACUUGAACAACAAUUUAUGUAAACUUUGUAAAAUGAUCAGCUUCAGAACUAUAGUACUUGAGAUUUAUAAAGAGCCCUGCCUUACUUGAGAUAAGGCUCUGUCCCAUCUCACUACAUGUGAAAGUGGCUAUAAAAGAAGUAAGCCAGAUUUCAGUACAGUUAAAGUUGUGUCCAAAAGUAGGUUUUUGCCAAGAUUACUAGGAUCUCAAACAGGAAAUUAUGAUGUAUAACCCUGCCAGAAUUCAAGGUAGCUAUUAUAUAAGCUAAAUAUGUUUUUACCCUAGCUAGUUUUGUUUUGUAGUUUGCUUAUAGAUGGUUUAAGGAUUGCCUGUUAAUGUUUUAAAGAGAUAUUGCUUUAAGAACACAACCUGGGUCAACAUAAGAUAAGGAGUUAUCACCUACAGGAUAAAGAGAUAGACAUUAAAGCCCAGUGCUCUUAAUAUAAGGCUGUUAACUUAUUUGCUGGAUGUUUAAGAUCAAGUUUUUAAAAUUAGUUAAAUUAAAAGGGCCAAAAAAACCCAAUAUUUGGCUCUUGCCCUCUGAGUCAGUCUGAAUCAGGGAAUAGGGGACUUCUCCAAAGGGCUCAGCAACUCUAGGCCACAUAACCUCCUGAGCAGGGAGAUUAAUGAGACCAGUGGAGGACAGAAAGCCAAUCGGUGCAUUUGCUGUAAAGAGGAGGGUCAUUAAAAAAGGAAGACAUCCCUGAUGCUUCUGAGGGAAGCCAUAUGGUCAAGCAAGGCCUGGACCCAUCCUAGCGCAAAUGGCACUAGCAGAACUGAAAAGCUGCUAUGAAGUUCCCGAGGACUCCCAGGAUAACUCAGCUGACUGUAAACAAUAGGUAGAAACAAAAGUCAGUUUGACUUGCUUCAUCUUAAACACUUAGCAAAGACAGUCAAAGCCAAAGCACAGCUGUUCCUGGACAUCUUAAAUGAUAAUAAUAGUUAAAUGUAACUUCCAUAAAUAAGUAGACUGGAGGCUACAAAAGAGAUUCUUAGACAGAAAUGCCUGAUAACUGUCAAAGGGACUGCUAGAGUAGUUUUAGUCUAAGGCCUUUAUUUCUAGCCAACGCAGGUAGGCUUGAUGUUUGCUAAUAUGGUUAUCCAGCCCUAAGUAGCAGAAUUAAAGAUUUCUCUAUUAGACACAGAGGUCAUACUAGUAAAAGGAUUUUGCAGGAUCAGAUGGCAUUAAAUUAUUAAACUAUAUCUUAAAGGAAAAGACAUCUGUAACCCUACAUGUUAGUUGUUGUGUUGACAUCCCUGACAUUUCUGACAAUGUGACAAAUAUCCUUAAAGAUUUACCUGCUCAGAUGGAAGCCAUGUCCUCAGCAACUUUUUCGUGGAAACAAUAUACUAGCUCCUAGUUCCUGGUACUGCCUGAUGAAAAACAUUGUUAAUCUUUGUCUUGGCCAUUAUAUUCAUUGGCAUAUUUCUGUGCUGUGGCAUUUAUUACUGCAUCAAUAUGGUUCCAGUACUAAUAAGUUCUUGUUUCUCUUAUAGACCACCCAUCACUCAAAUGGCCCUCCAACCUAUUACUUCUCAAUUAGACUUUCAUCAUGGACCACUCGAUAGACCCGAUAUUUUUAAGGGGGACUCCAAACUGCUUGCCCCACGCCGUCCCUUUUCAGCCUGAAGAAGCCAGAAAGAUUCUCUUCGUCCCCCUUCCUCACAGCAGAACCUAUAGGAAAAACAAGUUUACCCUUUAAGUGACCUAUAUGCUGGAUUCAAAAGAGCCAAUGAGAUACCUGUUACUGUGCUAGGAGGGAAACUGACCACUGUACCCUAUAAAAGAUCUGUACCCCAAAGCCCGGUGUGCCAGUUCACCGAAGCUCCGGCUGAGGUUUCGCUGAGCACCCGCAGGCGCCUGUGUAGCAAUAAAUCACCUCUUGCGUUUGCA
This is a long non-coding RNA of Marmota monax (woodchuck), 4792 nucleotides long. RefSeq lists it as uncharacterized. The transcript has 2 exons. Lineage: Eukaryota; Metazoa; Chordata; Mammalia; Rodentia; Sciuridae. The record is from RefSeq and is a predicted model, not a curated record.